This 1027-nucleotide long non-coding RNA is filed under the name Sarcophilus harrisii (Tasmanian devil). Its description in RNAcentral is "lncRNA (ENSSHAG00000028053.1)". The record is from RNAcentral. Lineage: Eukaryota; Metazoa; Chordata; Mammalia; Dasyuromorphia; Dasyuridae.
UUCCAUUCCAUAUAAGUUAAAAACCAGUGUGUUAAUUCAAUUGUUCUAUCAUAAUGUUUUAUAAAACAGAAAAACUUCCCCUCUGCUACAAUAACAGAUCCGUUUUCUAGGCCAUAAUGAUACAACAUGGAAGAGAGAAAUGUUUAAAUAUGAAUAAUCAUAACUAGGCCUAAAAUCAUACCUUGUCAAAGUUAAACAUCUGAAAUAUCAGUACUGGAAAAAUAACAUCCAAACUCUAGCAAGUCACCAUUCUCUGAACAGUUAAAACAAACACGUUCUAAUUCCCGUGUUUUUCUUUGCAAGCAUUAAUGUUGUAAAAAGUUAAAUUCCACAUAUAGCAGUUCUAAGUGUAUCUACAUAAUCCUAAUGAUAAACAAAUACUCUGAAAUUAUAAUAAUAUUAUUAUAGCUAAUGUUUACAUAAUAUUCAGUCAUUGUCAAGUAGUACUCAGCUAAGAACUUUACAACAUUUGAUCCUUAUAACAUCCCUAGCCUCCGAGGUAGGUGUUAUUAUUAACUCCAUUUCACAGAUGAAGAAACUGAGGUUGAAUGACUUGCUCAAGGUCACACAGUUUAGUGCCUAAGGCUAAAUUUGAACUCUUCUUGACUCCAGACCCAGCACUCUACCCACUGUGCCACCUAGCUGCCUAGAAAUUGAAUAAAAUGAUGCAUAAUUUCAGUAUGUUUUCAUCUGGGUUAUAGAAAAAGAUUCUUUACACUAUGAAGAUGCUUUCCCUAGCUAUAUUAGUGCUGGUUGGGACUGCCAUUUUAGUUUAUCUACUAUCUCACAGACAAGCCUCUUCUACUAUCAUUCAACUUGCAACAACCCCACCCUGCCCUUCUCUAAUCCUUUGUUUUCUAAUUUCUCCACAUGCUUCCCUACCAUUUGCACAGAUACAAUUGAAAGGAAGACCUACUCACUUAACUGUUUUGUAAUCAUCAAUGACAUAGAAGCCCAAAACUAUAAAGAAAAAUAGACUCUGUUGAACGUAUGAAGACCAAAUGACAAUUGUUCCCUUCUCUCAUUC